This is a long non-coding RNA of Trifolium pratense (red clover), 98 nucleotides long. RefSeq lists it as uncharacterized. The transcript has 2 exons. The record is from RefSeq and is a predicted model, not a curated record. Lineage: Eukaryota; Viridiplantae; Streptophyta; Magnoliopsida; Fabales; Fabaceae.
GAAAAGGUUUAAGUGAUAAAAAGUCUCUUGGUUUGAAGUCCAAGGUUUUUUAAGAAAAGAGUGUAAUGAAAUCACUUGGUUUAAAAUCCAAGAGUUUG